GGGGAUGACAGGCUUCGAUAGACGGAUCCUGUUAUCUGUAUUUGCGUGUCGAGGGUGGCUUCCCUCGUACUCCAAAGCCAAUCGAUACGUGCAAACGUUAUCACCCGAGCAAAGAACGCGUUGGCGCAAGCUUUUAGCGUUCCACAACUCGCAGCUGUUGUCGCGUAAUUGCCACAACCAUCGCUCUGAUCAUACUCGAUAGUCAGAAACCGGUGUCAACCCAAUCGAGCGUAGAUGCGUGUGCCGCCUGAUCACACCCAUUGAACUCCUAUUCGGGCGCCUCUUGCACAUUUUGUCACUUUCCAAAGUGUUAAGAGUACACAAAUUGACUACACACGUAGACGGUACAGAUAACCCGCGCUAGACCCGAGUUCAAUUCUCGGCAUCUCCACGA
This 394-nucleotide transfer-messenger RNA is filed under the name Patescibacteria group. Its description in RNAcentral is "1-14-0-10-47-10 sp002773135 Standard tmRNA". It matches the Rfam family "transfer-messenger RNA". Rfam says of the family: Bacterial tmRNA, also known as 10Sa RNA or SsrA, is named for its dual tRNA and mRNA-like properties. RNAcentral also lists the same sequence under 1 other name. The record is from RNAcentral.